GUGAGGAAUAUUGGUCAAUGGGCGCAAGCCUGAACCAGCCAUGCCGCGUGCAGGAAGACGGUCCUAUGGAUUGUAAACUGCUUUUAUUUGGGAAUAAACUCCGGUACGUGUACCGGCCUGAAGGUACCAAAUGAAUAAGCACCGGCUAAAUCUGUGCCAGCAGCCGCGGUAAUACGUAGGGUGCAAGCGUUAUCCGGAAUCAUUGGGUUUAAAGGGUCCGCAGGCGGUCUUAUAAGUCAGUGGUGAAAGCCUACAGCUCAACGGGAGAACUGACAUUGAUGCAGUAGGACGUGAAUUCGAUCGAAGUGGGCGGAAUGUGACAUGUAGCGGUGAAAUGCUUAGAUAUGUCACAGAACACCGAUAGCGAAGGCAGCUCACUAUGUCUGGAUUGACGCUCAGGGACGAAAGCGUGGGGAGCAAACAGGAUUAGAAACCCUAGUAGGCC
RNAcentral lists this ribosomal RNA (445 nucleotides) under uncultured bacterium. RNAcentral's name for it is "partial 16S ribosomal RNA". It matches the Rfam family "Bacterial small subunit ribosomal RNA", at positions 354 to 796 of the family's 1533-position model. The record is from RNAcentral.